GGCUGAAAUUCGCCUUCAUGAAGUCGGAAUUGCUAGUAAUGGCAGGUCAGCAUACUGCCGUGAAUACGUUCCCGGGCCUUGUACACACCGCCCGUCACACCAUGAGAGUUGGAGAUACCCGAAGCCUGUGAGCUAACUUUAUAAGAGGCAGCAGUCGAAGGUAGAACUAAUGAUUGGGGUGAAGUCGUAACAAGGUACC
RNAcentral lists this ribosomal RNA (199 nucleotides) under uncultured bacterium. Its description in RNAcentral is "partial 16S ribosomal RNA". It matches the Rfam family "Bacterial small subunit ribosomal RNA", at positions 1303 to 1500 of the family's 1533-position model. The record is from RNAcentral.